GCCUGGGUGGCUCAGUCGGUUAAGCGUCCGACUUCGGCUCAGGUCAUGACCUUAAGGUUCACGAGUUCGAGCCCCGCCUCAGGCU
Felis catus (domestic cat) is the source of this 85-nucleotide non-coding RNA. Lineage: Eukaryota; Metazoa; Chordata; Mammalia; Carnivora; Felidae. The record is from Rfam.